UUAACUCAUCAUCAUCGGUGGCAUAUUAUUGGAUGAAGUACAUACCUGUGGCAGACCACCUGGAACACUGACAAACAAUGUUGAGGUGCACUUGGGAAGCAGUUCUGGAAUGUGUGAUACUGUUUCUUUAAAGGAUCCCAAAUAAUUAGAUACAAAACAAAGAAAUGAAGAUGUGUAAGACAAUACCUACAUUCAUCCUGCUGCUUACAGGGUAUUUUGUUAAAAAUAUGCAUGUUCAUGCAACAGAUCCAACACUAUUAUUGCAAACUACUUCCAGUGUCACAGAAGCUUCUCACCAAGAAACAGCAACAGCUGAUUCAAAACCAGUAACAACCGGACCAGAAAAUGAGUCGAGUCCCGUUCCAGAAGAACGUUUGUCAUCUACAGUAGUGGCAGGAACCAGCAUUUCCCUUGUGAUCAUCUUGAUAUGUGUAAUUGCUUUUUUUUGGUUCAAAUGGAAAUCGUCUAAGGAAAGUUCAGCUGAAAUUAAUUCUGACCCCUCCAGUGAAGCUGUGGUGACCUUAAAAAAUACCAAGUUAUGAAAACCAAU
Molecule: long non-coding RNA, 550 nt
Filed under: Cairina moschata (Muscovy duck)
Lineage: Eukaryota; Metazoa; Chordata; Aves; Anseriformes; Anatidae
Description: domestica (muscovy Duck (domestic type)) lncRNA (ENSCMMG00000002264.1)
Source: RNAcentral